GACGAACGCUGGCGGCGCGCCUAACACAUGCAAGUCGAACGAGCGAGAGAGAGCUUGCUUUCUCAAGCGAGUGGCGAACGGGUGAGUAACGCGUGAGGAACCUGCCUCAAAGAGGGGGACAACAGUUGGAAACGACUGCUAAUACCGCAUAAGCCCACGACCCGGCAUCGGGUAGAGGGAAAAGGAGCAAUCCGCUUUGAGAUGGCCUCGCGUCCGAUUAGCUAGUUGGUGAGGUAACGGCCCACCAAGGCGACGAUCGGUAGCCGGACUGAGAGGUUGAACGGCCCCAUUGGGACUGAGACCCGGCCCAGACUCCUACGGGAGGCAGCAGUGGGGAAUAUUGCACAAUGGGGGAAACCCUGAUGCAGCGACGCCGCGUGGAGGAAGAAGGUCUUCGGAUUGUAAACUCCUGUUGUUGAGGAAGAUAAUGACGGUACUCAACAAGGAAGUGACGGCUAACUACGUG
RNAcentral lists this ribosomal RNA (466 nucleotides) under uncultured bacterium. Its description in RNAcentral is "partial 16S ribosomal RNA". It matches the Rfam family "Bacterial small subunit ribosomal RNA", at positions 28 to 507 of the family's 1533-position model. The record is from RNAcentral.